AUUGAACGCUGGCGGCAGGCUUAACACAUGCAAGUCGAGCGAGCGGCGGACGGGUGAGUAAUGUCUGGGAAACUGCCUGAUGGAGGGGGAUAACUACUGGAAACGGUAGCUAAUACCGCAUACCAUCAGAUGUGCCCAUAUGGGAUUAGCUAGUAGGUGGGGUAAUGGCUCACCUAGGCGACGAUCCCUAGCUGGUUUGAGAGGAUGACCAGCCACACUGGGACUGAGACACGGUCCAGACUCCUACGGGAGGCAGCAGUGGGGAAUAUUGCACAAUGGGGGCAAGCCUGAUGCAGCCAUGACGCGUGUAUGAAGAAGGCCUUCGGGGUGUAAAGCACUUUCAGCGGGGAGGCGUUACUCGCAGAAGAAGCACCGGCUAACUCCGUGCCAGCAGCCGCGGUAAUAC
RNAcentral lists this ribosomal RNA (406 nucleotides) under uncultured bacterium. Its description in RNAcentral is "partial 16S ribosomal RNA". It matches the Rfam family "Bacterial small subunit ribosomal RNA", at positions 30 to 526 of the family's 1533-position model. The record is from RNAcentral.